Molecule: long non-coding RNA, 16296 nt
Filed under: Ananas comosus (pineapple)
Lineage: Eukaryota; Viridiplantae; Streptophyta; Magnoliopsida; Poales; Bromeliaceae
Description: long non-coding RNA (ACOM_LNC027745)
Source: RNAcentral
UUUUUAUUUUUAUAUUUAAAUUUUAUUUUUGAAAAUUUUUACUACUGAUUUUAUAAAAUAUAUAUAGUUUUUUAUUAAUAAAUAAGUUUUAGAUGAAUUUUUAGAAAAAUUAUUUGAAAUUUAAAUAAUUUAAAUUAAUAUUUGAAAUAAUACAUACAAAAAAAAAUUAAAAAAAUGCAUUAGAAAAAGAAAUAAAUAAAUAAAUAAAUGGCCCAGCCUGGUGCUUACUGCUUAGGCCCAGUCCAAAAUGGACCAGGCCACACCCAGCCCUGUGGCCCAGCACUGCCCACAUUUGGAUGUGGGCCGAGCCGUGCCGGGCCACCGGUCAACAAGUUGCAGCCUAGCAUGGCUCGCACCACCAGGCCAGGCUGCAGGCCGACUGCAAAUGGGCAAGCAUGGCUCGCAGUCGGGCUGGUUUUACACCACUAGGCAUGAGUAAUCUAUAACUCACACAUAUUUUUCCAUCAAUAAUUUGCUUUCGGCAAAAUUUUUAGCCUGCUAGAUAUUCACAAAUUAUUAAUAAACUAACUAAAGGUUCUGUUCUGACAGUGCCACCUUAUUGGCCAUCAGCCUUCUCACUUUAAUUCUUUUUCCCCCUUAUCAUUUAAACCAUUUAUUUUCCAAUUUGUUAAGCAUGUAAAUAUCAUGGCGCUGUAUUGAUAAGAGUUUGCCAAAAUGGAAUUGAGUUUCAGCUCAUUUGGUCUCUUAACAAGCUAGCAUCAACAUAUAAUGAGAAGAUGUCAAAGGAACUGCUCUCAAUCGCUCUCUAUAAUCAUCUAGCAGCUGAAAUUAAUAAGCAACUAUCGAUGUCCAGUUACUUGCACCAAUAUUUGAUUAGAUUGACCUCUGAAGAACACUGGAUCUCUGAAAAUUAGGCAUAUAGGUUGCAUAGAUUGGUAUGCUAACAUUAUCAACUGCUUAAACUACACUAAAAUUUUGCAUCAAUGGUGGUAAAUGAGUCCUAACUUCACAUUUUACCUUGUGUAUUCACAUCAAUAACCCCACACCAUCAAUAAUCCAUCAUCAUUAGGUUAACAAUUCUCAACAGAAAUUAAUUAAUUUGGCUUACGAGCAUCUGGCUUUUGGCCUCAGACCAAUCCAAUCAAGCAUUCAAAGAAUCACACAGCUUCUACAAACCCAACUGGUUAAUAUACUCCUCGUCCGAAACUUCUCUAACAUCAAAUUAAUGCAAAAAAUCCAACAAAUUCAACAAUAUGCGUACGAAAAGAAGGACUCCAAUCCAACAAACACUAACCAUAUCUCACCAAAUCGGUUCUUCUACUCUUAAAUUCAUCACAACGGGAUCAAUAAACAAGAAACAAAAGGUAAUUUAAACAAAAAAUCCUAAAACUAAACAACCCAAAAAAAAAGGCACUCCGAUCCUAUAGAAACCCUAUGUAACCCUAAUCGAUCCGGAUCGUUAAGUAUGGAGCUGGAUUUAGAGAAGAAGAAGAGGGGAUUCUCUUACCGAUUAUGAGAAUCCGAUAGAGGGGAGGUCGAUAAUGGCGGAUUAGGGCUGGAUCUCUCUCCUCCGCCACCGAGAGAGAGAGAAAGAGAGAGAGAGAAUUAGGGCGCAAAAACCGGUGGGAAAAGGAAGGGGAAGGGGAAUAAAUAGCGGGUCAAAAUGCGUGGAGACCCCUCAACUAUACUAAAUUUACAAAUAAGUAUCUCCAUUUAAAUUUGUUUUAUCUUAUACGCCAUUAUUUUUUCAUUUUUAUUUGAGAUUUUUGAGUUGUGAAUAAAAUUAUUAAAUUUGGUGAGAUACUAAUAAAUUCGAUGAAACUUUUUCAUUAAUUAUAUUAAAAAAUGUAAAAAUGCAUGGAGAUCCACUCAACUGUAGAUCAUUCCAAAAUAGCCCCCUCAACUUCUUAUUUUUUUAAUUUAAUUUUUUAUAUUUAGUUAAAGCUUAAAAUCUCACAAAACUUAAUGGCCUUAUUAGUUAUUAAUUAUUAAUUGACCCAGUUUUAUUUGCCAAAAAGUGGUUAAAAUCAUUAAAUUGGGUAAAAUCACUGUGAAUUUGAUAAUAUUUUCAAAUUCUAUGGCUAAAAUUAUUAUAUUAAAGGAUUAAUUUCAUACAGGUCUCUACAAACAUAGUAAAUUACAAAUAUAUCCUUACAAAAUUCAACUUUCAUACGUUGUUUCUAUAAAAAUCUUAAUAUUUUCAAAUAUGUUCCUGCCGCUAGAAAAUUUUAGCUAACCAUAAGUUAAAUGCUUAACUCUAAUUAAUUUAUGAGAUAACUUGAUAUUUUUGCCUUUCUCAUAUUAAACUAUUUUGGUUUUUUGAAGGGACAUAUUUGUAAUUAAAAAUUAACAUUUUACUUAAAAUAUAUACAGUUCUAUAAACGAUAACAAAUCAGAGGGACAUACUUGAAAAUAUUAGAACUUUUAUAGAAAUAAUUAUAAAAGGUGAAUUUUGUUAAUAACAUAUUUGCAAUUCACUAUCUUUAUAGGGACAUGAAUGUAUUUAAUGUUAUAUUAAAAUAUUAAAAGUCAAGGGAUCACAAUCAUAAAAAAAAUAAUAAUAAUAACUAUGGGGGCUGUUUUAGAAUGGUAUAUAUUUGAGGUGAUCUGUGUACAUUUUUACAAUCUUUUUUCCUUAAUUUAAUUUUUUUUAUUUAAGUUUUUCUAGUUAGUUAAAUAAAAAAUAUUAUCAAAUUUUAUAGUUUUACUCGCUAAAAAGUGAUUAAAGCUAUUAAAUUUAAUAAAAAAACACUCACGACUUUACUCAAAACUUUUCAUUUAAUUAUUAAUUUAAAAAAAAAAAGAAGUUGAGGGACAUGUUUCAAAAUAAUCUAUAGUUGAGGGGGCUUUAUACACUUCUUGCCUUUUGACUUGACCCGGUUUUGUGUGGUCCCAUUCUCCCAGCCCAGAAGAUUCCAAUGGAUUAGGGCGUAGACCAGGUCCACCACGUCAGCUAGACAGGACCAAUCAAAGUACCUCAAAGUGCGCAUUUGGUUGUAAAUUAUUCGGUGCACAUAGUGUACCACGUAAGCGACGAACCGAACGUGUAAGAUGCACACACGUUGCUUACUCCCAUUGGCAGUGGCGUUUUAAUGAUUGAUUCACAUACCUGGUCUAUAGACCCGGUCCAGGAAAUAUCUCCACACUCUCGCGGGUUACAGUUUCUUGGGUGUUUAUAUAUAUAUAUAUAUAUAUAUAAAAUAAUUUUUAAAAAAGGGAUAAUUGCGUAAAUAACCCCGCGAAGUGGAGAUAUUGCAUAUUAACCUCUAUAAAUUAUAAGAUAUCUUAUAUAUCCCUACAAAAUUUAAAAACUUACCAAUAUGUGCGUAAAUUGAUUAUUUUGUCUUUAUUUUGAUCCGCCGUGGCAAUCGUUUUCAAUGAUGAGAUGCAACUCUAUCAUCUUUUAUUAGUAAAUUAAAAUUAUUUAAUUUUGCUUAGGUUUCUUUAUAUUAUCUAUAAUUGCAAACAAGGACAAAAUAAUCUUUUUUUUAAGUAAAAUAUAAAUGUCUUUUAACCGGUCAAUGAAAGUAUUUGUCAAAUUUCAAAGUCUUGCAGGGCAUAUUUUUAAUAUUUAAAGUUUGGGGAGACAAACAUACAAUAUUUCUUUUCUUUUUUUUUUCUGAAUUCAAUAUAAUAAAAAAUUAAAUACUAACACACAAAUUUGCGUUGAGUUAGAAUAAUUCUAAGGGGUUAUUUAGUUGCACGUAACUGUAAAUUGUAUUGCAAUUGUAGCCACUCAGGUGUUUAUUUUGAUGCAUUUAAAUUUACUGGUGCAAUUACAGUUGUACGAGUAGGCUCAAUUACAAUAGUUGAAGCUUGCGCUCGAAUUUGGCCACAGUUUCAACUACAGCACUUGGAGAGGAAUAAUUAUUACUGAAGAUAAACUUAUCUUUCUAAUGACUUUUGUAAAAAUUCGUAAAUACAACUUCUCAGCCGAAUGCAACCAAGCAAGUUAUUUAUACAUGCAACGCUUCCUGCUACAUUCAACCAAAAUAAAAUGCGUAUAAUUAUAAAUACUGUAUUUUCAACUGCAUUUAUCUUCAAAUGCACUGCAUUUAUAAGCAUGUCAAACCAAGGAAGCCCUAAAAGGAGUCUAGCUACUAUUCUUCUAGGAGGACAAAAGCCUUCACCCUCCUAACUUAUUUUAGAUGAUAGGAAUCUCGAAUCGAUGAUCAGAACCAUUAAAAUUGAUCUAAAAUAUUUAUAAUGUCUAGAAACUAAAUUUUAUAAAUUUUAAAAUCCGUUAUCAAAUUCAUUAAAGAGUCGAGAAAUGAACCGUCAAAAAUGAAUAAUCUUGUGAAAAUACAUAUUAGACUUUUUUAAUUCAUGAUCGGAAUUAUCAAAAAUUCAAGUUGUUUAGAUUAUUCUCCACUGUUAAACAAGCAGACGGCUCAUGUAGGUUGUCAAAAACUGUUGAUUUUGCGAUUUUUUUUUAUCACUAUGUAAAUAUUUUUUAAAAUUCAUGAAGUUUAGUUUCUAGAUACUUUAAAUAUUCUAAAUCAACUUUAACAGUUUCGAUCAUCGAUUUGAAAUUUCUAUCAUCUAAAACGACUUAGGAGGAUAAAGCCAUCCGUCCUUCUAAAAAGAUAGUAGAUGUAUUUCCCUAUAAAAGUUUUUUUUUUUUUUUACCCACUUUGUUUAUUUCAUUUAGAAAUAAAUUUAACUGAAAAUGUGAAUCAACUAGAAUUUGAAUCUGGAACUUCGGGUACCAACCACCAACCCUGAAAGUUUUAUUAUUUGCAUACUUCUAACUCUUUUUUUCCAUUUAUCUCUAUUAAAUCUUAGGCAUCUAAGGGCUAUGGUCCAUGAGUGGUUGAAGGGCAUGAAUAAUAAUACUUUUGGAAGUAUCCCACCAAAUAUUAAACAAAUUUCUAAUAAGAAGGAUUUUGUGACAACUAAAAGAUAUGAUUAUUCUCAAUUGAUCGAUCCUUAUCCAAAUGUCUUUAUCAGAAAGAGUUAAGCUUUGUAUGGAUAUGGAGGUUUUUUUUUUUUUUUUUUUUUUUUUUUUUUUUUUUUUUUUUUUUUUUUUUUUUUUUUUGUGGAUGGUGAAAUCAACCAAACACAUGAGUUUAGUAUCCUACGCCAGAACAAGUUUAGUUUAUAAGGUCCCCUUCACAGUGUGAUCAAUGCUAUAUGUAUAUUUAUAUAUAGAGAGCUAGGCUCUCGCUCUUUCAAAAGCACGAAGAUCUCUAUAUUUAUAAGUUGUUUUUUAUGAUGGAACAUCCGAUUCAACGACCGACUUUGUUAGAUAUGAUCUAUGCUGUUAGAACUAUUUAGAAAACAAAUUUCAUAAUUUUUUCAUUUUGUUUAUCUAGUGAACGAGCAACAUUAAAAUAAACGGCUGAAAAUAAAAAUCUCAUAAAAAAUAAUAAUAAAAGAUUUAAAUUUUAAAUCAAAAGUAUUGUUCUUGUUCUUAAUAUUAAGUACCAUUUUCUAUUAAAGUUUUAUAUAAUUUGGAUUCUUUUACACCGUUGAACUUACAAACGUGCUACAUCGGCCGUUAAAAUAAUCAUUUUUAAGACCCUUUAAAAUAAUCAUUUUUAAGACCCUUUGACCACCUGGUAAAUAAUAUAAAAAAAAUAUGAAAAUUAGUUUUUAAAUAGUUCUAACAGCGUAAAUCAUACUUAAUGGAGCCAAUCAUACAUACAUGAACUAUAGAGUAAGUCUCAUAUGCUUUCGAGAGUACGGAGGCUUCCGUACUUACAAGCUGUUUUCGAUGAUAGGAUAUCCGAUUCAAUGAUUGGCUUCGUAAAAUAUGAUCUACAUUAUUAGAACUAUUUAGAAACUAAAAUUAUUUAGAAACCAAAUUUUAUAAUUUUUUGACAUUAUUUACUAAGUGAUUAAAGGGCCUAAAAAAUAACUAUUUUAAUAGCCGAUGUGGUAUAUUUGUAAGUUUAACGGUAUAAAAUAAUCCAAAUUAUAUGAAACUGCAAUAGAAAAUCCUACUUAACAUUAAGAGUAAGAAUAAUACUUUCGAUUUGAAAUUUGAGUCUUUUACAUUAUUCUUAUAAGAUUUUUAUUUUCAGCCGUUUAUUUUGAGAUUACUCGUUCAUUAGACAAAUGAAAUCGAAAAAUUAUGAAAUUUGGUUUCUAAAUAAUUAUAAAAGCAUAGAUCAUACCUAAAGGAGCCAUCAAAUUGAACGUCUCAUUAUCGAAAAAAAACUUAUAAUCACGGAAGCCUCCGUGCUUUUGAGAGAGAGAGGCUAGGGCUACUAUACUAUUACGAGUAUAAAUUCUUUUUUACUCAUAAGUUUUCGGCCGUUGGAUAAAAGGAUGUGCGAUUAGGAUAAUAGUAAUUCUGGAUUAGGUUGAUAAUGGUCCCCUAGGAUUAAGUGGGUAGUUGGUUAAAUAAUAUGAUCCAACGAGUAAAAAUGGUCAAAGGGAUAGAUCUAACCACCAAAAACUUAUGAAUACUAUAUAUAUAUAUAUAUAUAUAUAUAUAUAUAUAUAUAUAUAGCACUCAUAGGAAUAAAUGCGUCUACAGGGGCACAGGGUACACAGAUUGUGAAUUCAUAGCACUGACCAAUCACGUGUCAGAAUAAGCAGAUUAAUAAAUAUAUAACACAUACGGAAAUGUGACAUUUACUUGGCUUGGAUAUCAAAAUUACUGAAUCUACUCUUGUUUGUCGCAUUAGGAAACGACUCAGAAGUAGUUUGGAACAGUGUAACUAAACUGCAUACGUAAUUGACCAAAGUGAAAACAGUAGUUUCUGUUAUUAAAUGAUCAUAGAGUCAGGACUUUGGACUUUAAAGAGUUUUCGAAUCAAAUCUAUCAGAAAAUGUCAAAAAAACUCUUAACAAUAUUUAGCCAGUAAAUAAUAACCAAACUUAAUUAACAUUUGUUGUUACAAGUAUAUAUCCUCAGAGAUUGAUCUCUUUUGAAUAAUCGCAUGGAGAUCGAAUGCGCGUGUUUAUUAGUUUCAAAUUAACCUUUGCAUGAUCAUUUGGGUCGCAAUAAUGUAGCUCACGAUUGUUAGUAUAUAUUUCUGGGCUUAUUUUCUAGUAAAAGAUCUUUCUAAUAACAUAGCAUUAGAGUUGAUUCUAAACCUUUUUGUUCUGUAAAGUUGUGGAUUCAGUAUCUAACUACCUUUGGCAUUUAACAAGUUAAAGUUUCAUCUCAUAUCCUAUCUCACCUUUCAAUUUUAUGUGCCUACUACAUCCAUCGUGUACGUGAAUGAGAGUGUUAAUAUAUGUACGUUAACGAGAAUGAGGAGGGUACCUGCAAGGAGAGAAUGGGUAGGGGAGGUGGGUCAGGUUGGCGUGCAGCGCUCUCNAUUUAAAUUUCUGGAAUAACAAUUUAUAAACAUAGUGUGUGUUUCUCUGUAUAUAUAUAAAUAUAGUUUUAUAAACAAUUUCUUCUACUAUUUAUUUUUCUUUUAUUUACUGAUUUAUUUAAAUUAUUUGAAUAGAUUUAUCUCAAAUCUUUUUCACAUAAAUCUUUACAAAAUAAUUUAAUUAUUAAUAAACUGUUAUAUAAAUUUAUGUUGCACAUAUACCAGUUUUAAUUAUUUUUCUUUAAACAUAUUUAAUUAUUAAAUUAUUUUUAACAUAACUUUUACUUAAUCAAUAAUUAGACUUAUAAAACUAUAUAAAAUAUAUAUAAAUAUAAAUCAAAAUUUAUUAUUAAAAUAUUUUUAUAUCCGCAGCGUCGCGCGGGUCUUUCACUAGUGUGGCAUUAAUCUAAUAUAAUUCUUCUUUCUCUAAUUAUAUAAAUUUAAAAUAUAUAAAUUUUUAUACAUAAUUUUUAAAUAGUUUAAAUUUCAUGGCCAAUUUGCAUGAAAAAUUCACUAAUUUUGGGCUUUUGUAAAAGUUGACAACUUUUUUCGAUUUUGCAUAUUCAGAUUGAAAUUUCAGCAAACUAAUCAAAAUACCUUUAUUAUUUUUUUCUCUCGUUCUUUUUUUUUUCUCUCUCCAAAGAAGGCAGGGGAGGCGGAGGCGGAAAUAGCCCACCUCGCCUCCGCCUCACCUCCACCUCGCAGCCCUCGCCAGUGCACUCCAACCCUCCUCGCCUCCGACCCUACUAAGGCUGCGUCGCCACCUUCUUCUCCACUAGGGCACGACAACGUCGAGACGCAGGCUCUUCUCCUCCACCGCGCGUCAGAACGCCGAGACGUUGCCGGGGGCGGCGAGAUCGCCUUCGACAACGUCGCGUUGGUUGCGAUAGAAAGCAAGGGAGAGGUGAUGACAAAAAAAAAAUUAUGAAUAAUAAAAAAUAAAAAUUUAUUUUUUUCUACAGAAAAGAUCAAAAAAUAUAGGAGAAGAAAGAAGAUGAUGAAAUUGCACUCUUAAAAAAAAAAUUACACUGUUUAAAAAAGACUUGCACUGUUUUAAUAAAAAUUACACUAUUUCAUAUAGAAAUUAUACUUUUUAAAAAUAGACUUUACAUUCUUUAGGCCAGGAUUGCACAAGUUAUGAAAAUUUUGCACGAUUUAUGAGAAUUGUUGACUUAAAUAGAACAGUAUUCUACCCUAUGGCGUGAGGCUGGUUAGGCCGAGUCACAGUCGAGACACUGCACUAGAGAUAAUAAAGUUAAGGUGCAAAUAAAUAUGGUGGCAAAUGUAAGAGUACUAUAGGUCUAUAGGCUACUUGUAUGUAAGGUCAAUCUAUUGCCACGUAUCAUGGCAGCGAAAGAAGCGUCCCGAUCGAGCCCCAAAAAUUUGAACUCACACGCAACUUACACCAAAUUAAGCACGUUUCAAGGGGACUAAUACUAGAAUUCUAGUGGUCGUGAAUGUGCGAGGACUAUAUAUAGGCUAAUUAAUAAAUUGCACGUAAGGUUUAUUGUACUGUUACAGUGUCACGUAUCACUUUCAUAGUGCGACUACCACAAAGAUAUUUUUAUUUGUGAAUUUUAAAAUAUUAACCAAUUUUUUUUUGCAUCAUAAUUAGCUAAGCGGAUAGAAAAAUCAUAAGCUUCCAUUUGAUUGGGGUAUAAGGAGGAAUUACUAUUCUAUUCCUUAAUUACGGAUUAUCAUUCCUUAAUAACAUAUUAUUCCGAGAUAACAUAUUAACGGGUGGGAUUAGCAAUCCCUCCUCUUCCCCUGGAAUAGAGGUGGGAAUAGCUAUUCAUAUCCUUAUUUAAUUUUUAAAUUUAAAUUAUAAAUUAAAAAUUUAAAAUUUGUAAUUUUAAAAUUUAUAAUUUAUAAUUUGUAAUUCUAAAUUAUAAAUUUUAANAUAUAUAUAUAUAUAUAUAUAACUUAUCUGAACUAUGCAUCAUUUUGAAUUAGCUACCAGACGUUUCGAACUUUUGAUUCUAGUAUCCAAUCUUUCGAUUUAUUUUAUUUGUGCCAAUCAACGGCACUUGAACUUCAAAUUUUGAAUACGUCGUUUAUCUUUACGGAUUUAAUUAGUUCUUGCAAGUAUAAACUCAUUAAAGUAAGUAAUUAGCUUAAAUUUUGAAGUCAAUAUAUUACUGACCGAUUCAAAUCAAACAAAAUAAAAAUUUAGAUAGUAAACUUAAAAUUUUGGAAGUUUGGAUUAUUGAUUCAAAGUAAUCCAUACUUUAUAUAAGUUUUGUAUAUAUAUAUUUUAAAAAAAUACUAAAACUACCCAAAAGAAAAUUUUAAAUCCUUAGACAUAUAUAAAAUUUACACUUUAUAUAUUAAGAUGUAGAGCUAGACUCCUAUACUUUCGAAAGUACGGAUGCCUCUAUGCUUGCAAAUUAUUUUCAAUGAUGGAACAUUCGAUUCGGCGAUCGAUUCCGUUAGACAUGAUCUACGCUAUUAGAACUAUCUAAAAACUAAAUUUCAUAAUUUUUUGACUUCAUUUGUCUAAUAAAAGAGUAGCUUAAAAAUGAACGGCUGAAAAUAAAAUACUCAUAAAAAAUAGUAAUAAAAGACUCAAAUUUCAAAUCAUGAUCUUGCUAUUGAUGUUAAGUAGAAUUUUCUAUUAAAAUUUCAUAUAAUUUGGAUCGUUUUACACCAUUGAACUUAAAAACGUGUCACAUCGAUUGCUAAAAUAGUUAUUUUUGAGACCUUUUAAUCACGUAACAAAUAAUGUCGAAAAAUUAUGAAAUUUGGUUUCUAAAUAGUUUCAAUAGAGUAGAUCAUGCCUAAUAGAACUGAUCGUCGAAUCGGAUAUCUUAUCAUCGAAAAUAACUUACAAACACAAAAUUCUCCGUAUUUUCAAAAGUACAGGAAACGUACUCUUAUAAUAUUAAAAACACCAUAACAAGUCCUUGUCUUAAACCUUUCAAAAUGCCUCGCGCCUCCAAUUGUAUAAUAUUAAAAAAACACAGUUCUCUGGUAACUAAUAAACUCCCCAAUGUAUAUUUCCUUAAUUCCAAUAUACAUGGCACAAAAAAUAAAAAAUAAAAAAAAUAAAAAAAGAGCUAGCGUGCAUAGAAAACUUGUUAUGAUUGUCUCUCUUGAAUAAUCUCAAAAUCCCAAUUUCGAGCAUUUACACAAAAUGGAGAUCUUCUCAUUUGAUCACAUUCACCACAUUGCACCCAAAAUGUCAUACAUAACCAAUAAUCACACUAUAAUGCACUUUCAUUUGUGUACAUAAAAACUUCGGCAAAUAACAAUUCACACGAUUUUCGCCGUAAUCUUCAUAAAAGGAAAACAACAAAACCCCAAAGCCCAGAUACAUUAAAUAUUUGCAUAUCAUCGCGCAAACCGUUAGGUUUUAAUACAACUUCACCUGCGAUUACAUUACUUGUAGUUUAUAUAAUCGACUUUCGUCUUUAGUACAUCGAGAAGGCCAUUAAGAACCCUAAGAAGGAGAUGACGACGACAGGGAAGCUGUCGAUUCUCCGACCUUUACGAGCAGCAUUGGCAUUAACGGCCUUCUGCGACUGAGAGAGCUCGGGAGGGCACGAGAGCCCUUCUUUUCCUUCUCUACACUCGCUCGCGAAAAGGCCCGGAGGGUACUUCCCAUAUAAGUUUAUGUAGCUGAACAUCGUCGAGGCGCAGUCGUUCGUGCCGUCGUUUAACUCAUCGGAGUAUGGGCACGCGAAUUCCUUGAAGGCGGAACAACACAACGAGGCCGGGUACUGUGGGCCCUUGCAUUUGCUUGUUAUAAUGGUGUAGUUGAGGAACUCGAAAUUCACCGGGCAACCUGAUUACCGGGAAGAAUAUAUGAAACUUUCUAAGUAUAUAUUUUAUGACCAUUACUGCUUCAAAAGUUAGUUUCGGGUGGUAAAAACGUACAAAACUUACUUGGACUAUGGAGCAUUUUGAGUUGGCUACCAAACCUUUCAAAAUUUUGAUUUUACUACCCAACCUUUCUUUUGUUUGAUUUUAGUCGGUCAAUGACACUUCGACUUCAAAAUUUGAAUGCGGUGUUCUUCUUUACAAAUUUAGUUAGUAUCCUUUAUGCAAUUCUCGCAACCAUAAAUUCAUUAAAGUAGUCAACUUAAAUUGUUAAGUCAAAGUACCGCUAGCUGACACAAAUCAAAAUUUUGAAACGUUUGGCAGCUAAUUCAAAAUGGUCUAAAGCUCAAGUUUAUAUAUUUUUAUCUUUUUAGGUUUUGCAAAUUUGAUCCUCUUUUGUCCAUUUUUGCAACUUCGAACUAGUUUGUGGAGUAAAAAUGGUCACUGGAAAAGAUUGUCAUAAGCAUAUAUGCAUCAGAAGGAUUCCCAGGGGUGUUGCUUCAGUCCAUACAGAGAUUUUGGUCCAAAAAUGAAAAAAGAAAAAAGAAAGAGAGGAUCAAAGUUGCAAAAAAGAAAUCGCCUUCCAUGGAUCUACUACUUGAAGUGACUAGAUUUCUAUUGAGUAGUUAGCUUGAUGAAGUAGAGAUCAACAUAAUACCUAAUUACAUGGCUCAACAAUUUAAAUGAAUUCACAUAUACGAUCGGCUUUACUUUAACCCUAAUAAAUAAAGUGUAAUUACACCCUACUACACUGUAGUUUAAUGUUAUUUUUCUUUCCUACACUGUAAUUUUUUGUUUUGUUCAAAGACACCAUUGGACUAUCAUUAUCUUGUCAAUCUUUAUACCGUCCUUCAGGUAUAUUUUCAUUUGCUGCCCUACACUUCCUCCCCCCCCCCCUCAGAAACAUCAUUAACCUUUCGUUUUCUCGCCAAUUUCUAUACUACCAUCAGCAAACAUACUAUUUUAGACAAAAACUAAUAACUUUAUUACCAGGCACUGGUUAAAUAGUACGAAGAAAGCAAAAUGAGUCACCAAGAUAGAAUCAUCGAAAGCUUCUAUCGAGUUAUUUUCAACUAUUUUACCCGCAAUAUUUAGAAUUUUUCUUUUUUGUUCCUUGUCGACACGGGCCAAAUAAUUCAUGGCAUUCUUUGCCAACUAAAUAUUUCAUCGCAUUCUUUGCUAAUUAAAUUAUAGCAACAGCAAUAAGCUUGGCUUAGUGGAUGUAUGGAGUAGCUUCUAAAAAGUGAUUUUAAGUCCAAAAGUGAUUUUCGGCUUAAUAGAGCAUUUGACACAUCUACUUCUGAUUUUUAGAAUCAGUUUUCUGAUUUUCGAGAUCCAAAAUCAGAAGUAGCUAAAACCUGCUUCUCGAAAUCUGAUUCUGAUUUUGAACUCAAACGUCAAAUUUUUAUUUUUAUUUUAGAUUCAAAUUUUAAAUUUAAAUUCAAAUUUUAAUUUUUAAAUUUUAAAUUUAUAUUUUAAAUUUUAAAUUUCAAAUUUUAAACUUAUAAACUUCAAAUUUUAAAUUUUAAAAUUUAGAUAUUAAAUUCUCAAUUUUCAAUUUUUAUAUUUAUAUUUUGAAUUAAAAGAUCAAAAUUUAAAUUUCUGUGCAAAUUUAAAAUUUAAUAUUUAAAAUUUUAAUUCAAAUUUUAAUUUUUAAUUUAAAUUCAAAUUUGAAAUUUUUAAAAGUAAAAUUUAGUAAAAAAAAUUAUUAUAUGCCAACAUCAAAAAAAAAAAAUUGCUAAACAAUUUUACAAAAUCACUUUAGAAAAAUCAGUUUAUAUCCAAACUCGGUCAAACACUCUACAACUCUUAACCUAAAUCAAUUCUCCAACCCAAAAUCAAUUCUGCAGAAAUUACUUUUCCAGAAUCUAGACUAAACAGACCCUUAGGGCUCCUCUAUGCCUACAGCUAGGUUCAAAUGAUCUGCUAUUUUAAUUACAGAAUAAUAUCUAAUAAGUUCUUCAAAACUUCAAAAAUAUUUUAUUACCCCUGGAUGACCAAAAUACCCAUGUUGAUUUCAAAAAAUUUCUUCAAAUAUCCCCUUUUCCUCCAGGGUUUACUAAUGGGCUUGGGUUUUAAAAAGGUUUUUUGGGUAUUGAGGGGUAAAUUUGAAAUAAUAAUAGGGAAAACUUCAAAAACCCCCCCCCGUGGUUUCGUGGUUUCUCACUUUGCCCCCCUGUGGUUUAAAGUGUAUCAAAUUGCCCCCCUAUGGUUUCGUUUUUAUCUUUUCGGUAGCUUUUUCAUUAAUAUUUCAUUAAAUUAUAUACAAAAAACUUCAAAUACCCAUCUAAAUUUAUCAAAUAUUCACUUUUGUACCCUUUAAUUUUAACUUUAUUACUAAUUUAAGAAAUAAAAAAUAAUGAAAUUGAUAAGAAAAAGAGAAAAAAGAAACCACAGGGGGGCAAAUUGAUACAUUUUAAACCACAGGGUGGCAAAAUGAGAAACUACGAAACCACAGGGGGGUUUUUUGAAGUUUUCCCAUAAUAAUAGUAAGGGGCAAAUAAGCAAAAAGCCCCUUUAAUUAAAUUGUUAGUUGGACGUGGUUUCCAAAUAUGGGAACUAAAUUUUGCAUGUUAGAAAAUAACUUAAUUUAGCUUUACAACUUUCAUACUAUAAUAAAGUCCAGUUAUGUUUUCUCAUCUAUCACUAUCCACCCAAAAAGGAUUUGUAUGAAAAUAUGAUACAACUGUCAAAAGGGAAAGAGAAAAAGAAAUACAACUUAUAGAUUUGACAUGAUCCUGACCAUACAAACCUAAUCGAAGUAAUCUGACUAAAACCAGACCAUAUUAAUUCAGAAUAAAUCUGUAUCAGAUUAGAGCAGAUACAAAUUUAAGAAGCAAUAUCUACCAAAAUUCGACUACACUGAUCGCUUGCUGAGAAAAAUCAACAUUGUCCCGUGACAUCAAUUAUUUUCUUAGAUGCACUUGGCAUGCAGAGAUGCUUUGGAUGGUUUCUCGACUAUUUGUGCAAAUGAUUUGAACAUGUCUUUUAUCUCCAACAAUUUGUUUGUACUAAAUUCAAGAUUUUCUGGACCAAUCUUUGAAGUGGUUAAUUGCUUGUCACAAGGUUGUUCAUAUUACUAAAAUAUAUAGUCGUGAUGAAUGAAAACGUGAAAAGUCGCAUUUUCAGAAAAUAAAACUGAUGCAGAAACAGCUAAUCAGCUGCGGAAGUAUUCUGAAAUGUCAAGGUGGUGCUUGGUUGAGAAAUUUGAGAUUGGAAAUGAGAAAUCCUGUGCUACCAGGAGAACACAUUAAUAUUCCUACUCUAGGGCGGAAUAACCAAAUCGAACGAACAAUGUUAGGAAGAAGAGUAGAAAUGGCCAAUACCAUUUCUUUUUCUUUUUAUGCCAUCACCACUACUACACCCAAUACACUUACUCCACUGCCAAUGGUUGUCAUCACCACUACCAACUCCGUCGUCCCCAACAACACCCUUAUCGGUUUCCAAUGCCAUAAACCGCUAUCAUGAUCGCUCCUCGCACAAUUAUUAUUGGAAUUGAGUGGUGUUGGUUUUGAAUCGGGUUUCAGGUCGCCCAUGAUGGACAAAUAGGACUUCUAAUCCCAAAUCUAAUCAACUACCAUUAAAAGAAGGCAAAAAUAUGCGACAAUUCAUUCAACUCUAGGCCAUUUUGAAAUAGACACCUCAAUUUUGUUAAGAUUUUCAUAACUUUUGAAUAAAAUAUUUGUAGACACCAUUCUCUGGUAGCUUAAACUUUUGAGGAUAAACAACUAUUUCAUAUAAUUUUACACGGCAACAGAGCAGAAAGUCCUAAAUUUGAGUCCCCUAACUUCACUAAAUUUCCUCCAUUUAAUUAUUCUCCAUCUUGGGCGGUUGGGCCUAUAAAAAAGUCUUGAGCCCAGAUGUUUCAUGUAAUUUAACAAUAACCCUCAACCUCUAAAUUCAUAUAAUUUAAGUUAUCUACAUAGAUUAAAUUGGAUUUUUCGUCAAAUUAACAGGGAUUCCAUUAAAUUUAACUGUUUUGAACACUUUUCGAAUUACGGAUUCAAUUAACUGUGAAUUACUGUGAUAGCUAAUUCCUACAAAUCCCCAAUUCAACUAAAAACAACUAAAAGAAAACGAAUCGAAAUUACAGAAUGAAAAAAAUUCAUUUAAAAAACCCAAAUUAGACAUUCAACACAUUUGCUUAACACCGUCUAAAUCGAUUCAGGUAUUAAAUUAGGAGCUAAUUUCCUAAAAUUAGCACAAAAUUUGGCCAUAAAAAAAGGGAUUUUGUGAGAUGAGCUCACUCUUUUUGGCUUGUAGGAGGCUCCGACCAGUGGAUCCGUGAGAUUGGAACACAUCACCUGAUACAUACAUCAUAACACAAAAAAUUAUCCAAAAUAAAGAAAAACUCACAUAAACCGUCAAAAAAAAAACCCUAAAAAAUUGGGGAAAACAGGGGGGCGACAAAAAUGGGGAAAUUGAAAUUGGUACCGGAGAUGGAAGUGGCGGAGGCGAAUCCGAUGAAGAAGAAGAGAAGGAAAAAGAGAAGCGCCUGCGUUGAGGCGCCAUUGCUCGAACCCAUUUCUCUCUCUCGAUCGAAUUCAAAGGAAAUCGAAGAGGAGAGAGAGAGGUAAAAAUCGUACCUUAAGGGUUCAUAGAGAGAGAGAGAGAGAGAGAUAGAGAGAGAUAGAGAGGAGAGAGAGUGGUGGGACGGAGAACGCGGUUAGGGAAAUACGCGGCGAACCGUACAUAAUAACGGAAGGGCCAAAAAUAUGAAAAUUAAAAUUAGGCUAAAUUACAGAAAACCCCCUAUAAAUACUAGAUUUUUUACUUUCAUUCCUGACUUUCAAAAACUUAUAUUUUGGCACCUUAAAAUUCUAGAAAUAUUUUCAGGGGAAUACAGUGUUAAUGAAUAGAACAAAAUAACCAAAUUACCCUUAUUUUUUUUAUAAAAAAUAAUUUUUAAUAUAUUUUUGUAAUUCUGAAUGACAGUUUUAGAAUAAAUUAUAAGAAAUUGAUAGAAUAGUGACGGAAUAGUGAUGGAACCCUGACGGAAGAGUGCUAAAUAUUGAGGGGUAAAAUAUAUGCUUUUAAAAGUUACGAAGAAAAAGUAAAAAAGUGAGUAUUUACAUAAGGUUUUCUGUAAUAUAGUUUAGAAAUUUAAAAAAAGGUAAAUUUCAAUUUGCCCCUAUGGUUUUAGCAAAUUUUUACUUUAGUAUUUAUAGUCUAAAUAGUUGUACUUAACUACUCUAUAAUUUAUCUAUUUUUAUUCUAUUAUUCUAUGGUUUAAAACUCAAUU